AGGACGAACGCUGGCGGCGUGCUUAACACAUGCAAGUCGAACGGAAAGGCCCUUUCGGGGGUACUCGAGUGGCGAACGGGUGAGUAACACGUGGGUGAUCUGCCCCUGACUCUGGGAUAAGCCUGGGAAACUGGGUCUAAUACCGGAUAUGACCUCCUGCUUCAUGGUGGGUGGUGGAAAGUUUUUCGGUCAGGGAUGGGCCCGCGGCCUAUCAGCUUGUUGGUGGGGUAAUGGCCUACCAAGGCGACGACGGGUAGCCGACCUGAGAGGGUGAUCGGCCACACUGGGACUGAGACACGGCCCAGACUCCUACGGGAGGCAGCAGUGGGGAAUAUUGCACAAUGGGCGCAAGCCUGAUGCAGCGACGCCGCGUGAGGGAUGACGGCCUUCGGGUUGUAAACCUCUUUCGCCAGGGACGAAGCGUGAGUGACGGUACCUGGAGAAGAAGCACCGGCCAACUACGUGCCAGCAGCCGCGGUAAUACGUAGGGUGCGAGCGUUGUCCGGAAUUACUGGGCGUAAAGAGCUCGUAGGCGGUUUGUCGCGUCGUCUGUGAAAUUCUGCAACUCAAUUGCAGGCGUGCAGGCGAUACGGGCAGACUUGAGUACUACAGGGGAGACUGGAAUUCCUGGUGUAGCGGUGAAAUGCGCAGAUAUCAGGAGGAACACCGGUGGCGAAGGCGGGUCUCUGGGUAGUAACUGACGCUGAGGAGCGAAAGCGUGGGGAGCGAACAGGAUUAGAUACCCUGGUAGUCCACGCCGUAAACGGUGGGUACU
RNAcentral lists this ribosomal RNA (775 nucleotides) under Gordonia sp. (in: high G+C Gram-positive bacteria). Its description in RNAcentral is "bacterial SSU rRNA". It matches the Rfam family "Bacterial small subunit ribosomal RNA", at positions 26 to 817 of the family's 1533-position model. The record is from RNAcentral. Lineage: Bacteria; Bacillati; Actinomycetota; Actinomycetes; Mycobacteriales; Gordoniaceae.